Non-coding RNA from Camelina sativa (false flax), 527 nucleotides. Lineage: Eukaryota; Viridiplantae; Streptophyta; Magnoliopsida; Brassicales; Brassicaceae. The record is from RefSeq and is a predicted model, not a curated record.
UCUCUUCCGCCUCUCUUCACAAAGAAACCCUCUUCUUCUUCCUCCUUUUACUUCUUCUUCUUUGUUCUUCUUACCACUUGAAGCCAUCGUUUCAAUCCUUCUUCUUUGUUCUUCUUGUACCACAAAUGGAUAUUGAGCAGACUCACGUCCAACCCGAUUACAUAGCCGAAGAAUUGGCACCCAAGAUCUGUAGUUUGCGCCUGUGGACUAUAGCAUGACCUUGUCCUUCCAGUCCAACAAUUGGAUCUCAUCUCGAAGAUAGAAAGGGAAGUUUACCGUCGCCUUUGCUGUCAUCGUGGUUCGCAUCGCCGUCGCCGUUCCUGCCGCUGGCUCACCAUGAGCAAUGUAUCGAAAACCCUAAUUGUUAAUGUGUUGGGCCUGUCAUUUUGUUUAUUGUAAAAUUUUGUUAAUUGGGUUUCUAACCAGUUUGUAAUUAGAUUUGUUUUUUUUGAGCCCAUUAACUUUAUUUUGGUGUAUUUCGGUUAAUAUUAACCGAAAUAGAAAAUAUAUCGGUUCAAUUCGGAAUU